GAUGAACGCUGGCGGUAUGCUUAACACAUGCAAGUCGAACGGUACCUUCGGGUAUAGUGGCGGACGGGUGAGUAACGCGUGAGAAUCUAUCUUCAGGUCGGGGACAACAGUUAGAAAUGACUGCUAAUACCGGAUGUGCCGAAAGGUAAAAGAUUUAUUGCCUGAAAAAGAGCUCGCGUCAGAUUAGCUAGUAGGUGGUGUAAGAGACUACCUAGGCUUCGAUCUGUAGCUGGUCUGAGAGGACGAUCAGCCACACUGGAACUGAGACACGGUCCAGACUCCUACGGGAGGCAGCAGUGGGGAAUUUUCCGCAAUGGGCGAAAGCCUGACGGAGCAAUACCGCGUGAGGGACGAAGGCUCUUGGGUCGUAAACCUCUUUUCUCAAGGAAGAUUCAGACGGUACUUGAGGAAUAAGCAGCGGCUAACUCGGUG
Molecule: ribosomal RNA, 432 nt
Filed under: uncultured bacterium
Lineage: Bacteria
Description: partial 16S ribosomal RNA
Rfam family: Bacterial small subunit ribosomal RNA
Source: RNAcentral